GAUUACAAAGAAAGAACGCUGCAGAGGAGUGCAGUGGGGCACCUCAGCAAGAGAGGACUGAGCACACCAAGGUGGAUUUUCCUUAUGAGCAUUUAUGGACCUUAAGAUUAUCUUCUCCAGAUAUGAUCUAAUUCACAGAUAGAUCAAUACAGUCAUUGACAGAUGAUUAUUGCCGUGGAUUGCCAUUUACGGAGCAAUUACCAGGUAAGUGCUUUCUAUGUAGGCUGGGGUGAGGCCCAGGUAACCUCUGCUGACUUAGUUGUGCUUGUCUUGUAAAUGAUUCUCUGCCAAUAGGCCUUGGGUCUUGAUUUGUUUUUACUCUUGUGAGGUCAUGUCCUGAGACAACAUUGGGCAAUUCCCAAAGGGCCUUCUGUUCCCAACUAGAAACUUUGUAAGCCUUCCCUGGAGGGGGACAGCGGAGGUCAGGAGAUGGCUUCUAGCCAUAAACAGUUUGUUUUAAAGGACUUGUAUGAUGUGUGUAUUGAAGGGAUUCACAUAAAUAUUCAAAUGAAAUGAGUUGAAUUUGUUCUAAGAUGAUGCAAUAGCUAGGAAUAUUGAGUUAGGUGUUUGGAUGGGCAGCCAGGGCACAUGGUUUAAACAUUUGACACACUUGAAUUAAAUGGAUAGUGGAUAGUAAGAGUGGGCAUUUGAAAUAUGUCUGAGUGAGUGGCUUCCUCUGCAGCACUCCUGCAACAGCUCUCCCUAAGUGGCAGGUAUGGGUUUAUAUCCUAAAACUGAGUGUAGCAGUGCCCUCAAGCAGACCCACAAGGACUAGCUUGAGGCUGCUUUGUCUCCCAGAAAGCCAGUUGGCAGCAGCUAUCGGAGGGCUCUGCAGGCUUCCAAGUCCCCACCACUGCCCCAACACUUGGGUGCUCAGGGGGAACAUGAGGCCACUGAGAAUGGUCAUGUCACCCUGCCCUUCCCAUUCCUCCAUUGCCAACCUACUGAGAUUUGGGGCUAGCAUGAGAAUCUAUUCGUGUUAGCUUGCUAAUCAGGCUGUUCUAAACAAAGUGCCACAAACUGGGUGGCCUGCAUAACAGAAAUGGAUUGUCUCCCAUCUCUGGAAGAUAGAAGUGUGAGAUCAAGGUGUUGGCAGGGCUGGUUCCUUCUGAGAGCUAUGAGGAAAAACACGUUUCAUGGCCCUCCCUUAGCUACUGGUGGUUUGCUGGCAACCUUUGAUGGUCUUUGGCUUAUAAAGUUAUCACUCUGAUUGCUACCUUCAUUUUCACAUGGUGUUCCCCCUCUAUGCAUGUCUGUCCAAAUUGCCCUGUUUUAUAAGGACACCAGUCAUAUUAGGCUAGGGGUGCCCCCUAUUGCUACCUUCAUUUUCACAUGGUGUUCCCCUCUAUGCAUGUCUGUCCAAAUUGCCCCAUUUUAUAAGGACACCAGUCAUAUUAGGCUAGGGGUGCACCCUAUUCCAGUAGUACUCAAUCUUAACUCAUUACAUCUGCCAUGACCCUAUUUUCAAGUAAGGCCAUAUUCUGAGGUACUGGGAUUGAGGACUUCACCACAUGGAUCGUUGGGGGACACAGUUCAACCCAUAGCAUUUGGGAUAAAUUGAAAUAGCAUCAGCAUGAACACAGUCACUCUACUGGUUACUUCUGCCAACCAACCUUCAAGUCAGAAAGAAUCCUGUGGUUAAGGGAAAGGUUCUCCAAUCCAGUUGCAACAAGUUAAAGGUAUAGCCCGCUAGAUAUGGGUUAGUUUGCCCUGAGCUCUGAAUAUGACUUCUUCCCUGGGAAUCUUGGCUUGAGGGCACAUGUGGGAGCCUGCUUGCCAGGCACAGGGUAGCCUAUGGCUUUGGGAGUUUUGUUUUAAUCUGCCCUGUCACUUUCCAAAGGUCCGUCUUCUAAGCUUAUGCCAUUGUUCUAUCCUAGAACCAACUAUUUUCAUUCUUUGCUGCGUACCUUGUCUGCCCAUAUGAAUUCUCUCCUAGCCAUUCUCCAUACCACACAGAGGGAUUGUUCUAAAACACAAAUGUGAUAUUGUCAGUCCCUUGACUGACAAGACUUCAAUGGCUGUUGUUCUUUGGAUGGAGAUCAAAACACUUUCCGACAGGACCCGGAGGUCUCAGACAGGAGGCUUGCCAUCUGCGUUUGCACUUAUUUAAAAAACAAUUGAAUUGGUGACAUUCUGUUUCUUAAUCUGGGUGGUGCUGAACAAUGGUGUUCACUCUGUCAAUAUUCGUCUAGCUCUACACUUUGAUUUGUGGAUGUGUCUGUGCAUACAGUAUAUUCCAAUUUUUAAAAAUCUUCAAAACAACUGAAUGAGUUGCCCAAAGUUCUGGGAGUUCCUUGGUGGUAUUAUACUUUAUGAUCUUUUAGAUCUCUUGACCGUCACCAUUCAACUAGAGAUUUUUUUCCCCCUUUCUAUCCUGGGAGGAAAAAGAUGGAAUUAACAAACAGAGGUGAUUCAGUGAGUUACACUGUGUCACAAGGUCACAAGAUAAAUUAUGCACAUUGUGACAAGAAAACCGCAUGGUCCUAUAAAAUUAUGUGCUCUUUUUGUCCAGAAAUUAUGCUGGCUUGCUAUUUCCUGUUGUUAACUAAGAAUAAAGAGGGACCUGCCUGUUGCCCCUGCCUGCAGUGCCUGGAGGAGAGACAGAAGUCAUGACUGGCCUCCUUUCUGCCCCAGGGACUGCAUUAUUCCCCUCUGAAGCAACAGUCCUCCUGCUAGAGCUUGGGCAAGGAGAGGGGCUGCAGGCAACCCCUGUGUCUGCCCCAAGAAAAUGGGAGUUCUGAGCAACUUAGGCAUAUGGAAAAAGGAGCACUCUCCACAGAUGGCUGAAAAGCAUUGUUGGUAACAUCUGAAGCUUGAAUCUAGGGGUCAAUGACAAGCCCUUUAAGUUGGCCCUGUCUCUUGGAGUGCUGAACUGUUCCCACUGUUUAACAUAAAGAACCAAAGUAGCCCUUGCAAAGAGAGUGAGAAUAAUCUCUGACUCUGGCAGGCUCUUAGGACAUCAUAAUUUUAAAAUUGAGAGAAUUUUAAAAAAUCUAGAUUUCUGUCUUUCCUUGGAAAAUUGAGAUGUUGAACUACCCCACUAUUCUAUUUAAAAUUGCCAGGGGUGGUGGCUCAUGAUGGUUAUCCCAGCACUUCGGGAGGCUGAGGUGGGUGGAUCACCCAAGGUCAGGAAUUCAAGACCAGCCUGGCCAACAUGGUAAAACCCCGUCUCUAUUAAAAAUACAAAACUUAGCUGGGUGUGGUGAUGUGCAUCUCUAAUCCCAGUUACUUGGGAGCCUAAGGCAGGAGAAUUGCUUGAACCUGGGAGGUGGAAGUUGCAGUGAGCCAAGAUGGCGCCACUGCACUUCAGCCUUGGUGACAGAACGAGACUCCAUCUCAAAAAUAAAUAAAUAAAUACAAUUGCAGUAUCCAUGACAUCUUGUCCCAAGCCCCAUACUUUGUGCUUCCCUAACAUUGCUUUGCUUCCUCUCUUUCCAUAGCCCCAAGCAUCUCCUAACUUACCAUACAGUUUACUUAUUUAUUAUGUUUAUUGGUCUGUCUCCUUCUGCUGGAAUGUAAGUUGCAUGAGGGCAGGGCUCCUUGUUUUGCUCAAUGAUCCAUCUCAGGCCUUGAAUAUUGCAACCUGGCAUUGAAUAGUUGAAUGUAUGUAUGUUGAAUGAAUGUAGCCUGAAGCCUACAUUCCCAAUUUGUAGCAGUCACAUGACCUGCCUGGGCCCCUGAAGGCAUGUGUAUUUGCUAUGCCUGCCCCUACUGACCUGCAUGCCAGCUUUUCCCUUCUGUCCCCCUCAGGCUUGUUUCUCUGGCCACACUGGCCUGGCCUCUCCUACCCCACCACUGGCCCACUGCACUUGCUCAGCCAGAACGCUCUUCCUGCCCCUCUCUGCCUGGCUAGCUCCUGCUCCUGCUGUGUUCUCAGCUCAAGCUGUCCUUGAUCCCUUUGCCUAGGUCACUACCCCAAGCAUAGAGAAGAUUCUGCCCUUAGUCACUGACUAGAGAAAAUUCCUCUCAUUCAGUUUUAAGACAUAAAAAGCUCUUCCUCCCUUGUGAAUUAGUGUGCCCCCACCGGGCUACCCUGACCUCUGAGCUUAGGAUACAGGUGCUGCCCACGCCCCUCUGAGUCAACCCUGGAAACCAGUUCUACAGGGCCAGGCAAGGAACAACUCUGGGCCAAGGGCUGAAAUUACCCCACUGGUCUUCUGUCUACCUAGGACUUAUAUAAUGCUUGGCCUCUUCAUCAUGUUCUAUCUGUGUCAAUACUCAGGAGGGUGGUGAGAGGGCCUGGCCCCCCAGGGCAUUCUGGCAACAUGGUCAUCCUUCACAGCAGGGCCAGGACAAACACUCCCCAACCAAGUAACCACAUGACAGAGGGCCCUUCCUGGGCACCUGGAGGCAGACAGAUGGAGUUACCAAACAGGGGAUUCUGGGAAGGGUAACCCCAGUGGGCCAAAGAGAACUCUAGACUGACAGAGAUGAGGAACAGCUUCCCCUCUCUACUCAAUUUUGAGAUUAGGAAAUUGAAGCCCAGAGAGAGUUAAUGGUGCAUCCAAAGCACCACAGCACAGUGUCCCAACAGCCCCACAAGAACCCACAAGCUUCACUACGUUUUCUGGGUCUGGGCUUCUGGGGCUGGAAUGUCAGGAAUUCUAGGUUCUGCCCCCAUUAGCUGCAAGACCAAGGCUUAGAAAGAGACGAGAAUGGAUAGAAUGUUGCAGCUCUUAUCCAGGCAUAUACAAAAUACAGAUGACUGGGCCUCACACCUCAUUCACUCCAUCUGCAGGAGAGCCCUGACAUGUGGAUUUUGAAAGGCUCCUUGGAGAUGCUGACAAUCCAUGCUAGAUGGGCACCUGGAUGAUGCUUAAGUCCCUUCUAGCUUGACAAGCCCUCAGCCAUAGAUAUUAAAAUGAGGCUUGUGCUGGAGUGUAUCCCUGUCAUCAGUCUACAAGAGAAGCUCUCACUGGGGCAGCUGAACUCCCUAGGGAGCAUCCUGGAAAUUAAAAAAAAAACCUUUUGGUUGUCAUAAUGAUGAGGCUGGUGCCUCUGGCAUUCAGUGAGGAGAAUAAUGCGGUCCCUGGGGCAGAAAUGAGGCCCAUUAUGACUUCUCUCUCUCCUCCAGGCGCUUCAGGCAGGGGCAACAGGCAGGUCCCUCUUUAUUCUUAGUGAGGGAUGCAUCCCAUCACAAUGAAGAAUUGUCCUGAGUCCUGUACAUCUUUGGAAUGCACUGUCAGAAUAUUCAUAGAGGGGAAAAGCUAGUUCAUAGUCACAUGAGCCAUAAUCAACUUCUCUUUACAUGUAUGUUUAAAAAAAAAAAAAAAAAA
RNAcentral lists this long non-coding RNA (5276 nucleotides) under Macaca fascicularis (crab-eating macaque). RNAcentral's name for it is "lncRNA (ENSMFAG00000055293.1)". Lineage: Eukaryota; Metazoa; Chordata; Mammalia; Primates; Cercopithecidae. The record is from RNAcentral.